Juglans regia (Persian walnut) is the source of this 698-nucleotide long non-coding RNA. RefSeq lists it as uncharacterized. The transcript has 2 exons. NCBI's taxonomy places the organism in Eukaryota, Viridiplantae, Streptophyta, Magnoliopsida, Fagales, Juglandaceae. The record is from RefSeq and is a predicted model, not a curated record.
AUUCACACUUGAAUGGACCUAUAAAUAGGAGUGCUAGCUGGAGGACAAUGGCCUCAUCAACGCGUUAUACAAUCUAAUCUGCAAUCACCAAAAUGAAGACUAUCUCUCUCAUUUGCUGCAUUCUCCUGGCUUUCCUUCUUUUCUCUUCCCCUUCAAUUAUGGCUCGUGAAUUGGCUGCUGAUCAUGAUCAUGAGGCCGAUGGCACUACUGCUGACAAAGACAAGAUUAAUAAUCCCAACUUGCCAGGAAAAUCGUGCGGAAGCCCGAAAGAUCCCCAAUAUGCUGCUUGCAUAGGGAAACAGAAGCCCAAGUCCUGUUCAAAAGGCAACUCUUAUCACCGUUGCAAUCCACCAGCUCAAGGCUAGGAUCAAGUAAUUGAAUAAGCAGAGCUUUUAACGGUGUAAUGAAAUUAGUACGAUUAAAAUAGUAAAAGUUAUAAGUACUGCUGGCAUUAACGAUCGAUGCUUCUCGUGAUCAUGAUGAUGAUCGAUGAUCAUGAGAAGAACGUAUGUACCUACAAGUUUGAGAAUAAAAAGGUUUAGUUCGAUACCGUAUCAUCAUGUAAUGCAUGGAUCCGAUCGAUCGAACUUCCUCUGCAAUGUGUCAAUAAAAUUAAGAAUGUCUGACCGACUUAGUUUUGGUCAGCUAGUUUGUUUAAAUUUCUUAUGACUAUAUAUAGCUAGUAUUUUCUUCUUCUU